RNAcentral lists this ribosomal RNA (305 nucleotides) under uncultured bacterium. RNAcentral describes it as "bacterial SSU rRNA". It matches the Rfam family "Bacterial small subunit ribosomal RNA", at positions 28 to 334 of the family's 1533-position model. The record is from RNAcentral.
GACGAACGCUGGCGGCGUGCUUAACACAUGCAAGUCGAACGGAGCUAAGUUUUCGGAUUUAGCUUAGUGGCGAACGGGUGAGCAACGCGUGAGGAACCUGCCUUUCAGUGGGGGACAACAGUUGGAAACGACUGCUAAUACCGCAUAAUACUAUCGGGUGGCAUCACUUGAUAGUCAAAGAUUUAUUGCUGAAAGAUGGCCUCGCGUCUGAUUAGCUAGUUGGUGAGGUAACGGCCCACCAAGGCGACGAUCAGUAGCCGACCUGAGAGGGUGACCGGCCACAUUGGGACUGAGACACGGCCCAA